This 466-nucleotide ribosomal RNA is filed under the name uncultured bacterium. RNAcentral describes it as "partial 16S ribosomal RNA". It matches the Rfam family "Bacterial small subunit ribosomal RNA", at positions 29 to 507 of the family's 1533-position model. The record is from RNAcentral.
ACGAACGCUGGCGGCGUGCUUAACACAUGCAAGUCGAACGGAAAGGCCUCUUUCGGGGGGUACUCGAGUGGCGAACGGGUGAGUAACACGUGAGUAACCUGCCCUUGACUUUGGGAUAACUUCAGGAAACUGGGGCUAAUACCGGAUAGGAGCUCCUGCUGCAUGGUGGGGGUUGGAAAGUUUCGGCGGUUGGGGAUGGACUCGCGGCUUAUCAGCUUGUUGGUGGGGUAGUGGCUUACCAAGGCUUUGACGGGUAGCCGACCUGAGAGGGUGACCGGCCACAGUGGGACUGAGAUACGGCCCAGACUCCGACGGGAGGCAGCAGUGGGGAAUAUUGCACAAUGGGUGGAAGCCUGAUGCAGCAACGCCGGGUGCGGGAUGACGGCCUUCGGGUUGUAAACCGCUUUCGCUCAUGACGAAGCUUUGUGUGACGGUAGUGGGUAAAGAAGCACCGGCUAACUACGUG